GGAGACAGAAGAGGCCAGUGGUUCUGAGGGCAGAGCUGAAGGCUGUUGCUACCCUUGUUCACGCGAGAAACAUCAAGAUGAAGAGCGCAGCCGCGGAUCUGACAUUGCCUCUGUCAGCAGCUACGUGACUGAAUGCAGAGCAGAAAGAAGGCCCAUGUGUAAAAGAUCCCUGGUGUGUUCCCACCUCUUGGAUAUUUGGCCAAUAAAGCUGAAGAGGCAUUUUAGAGUCAGAGACAGCCCUGCCACGCGGCGCACAGGUUUAUAGCUCCGGGCAAAGGUUUCAACAAAUACGAACUCUUCACUCCAAAGUCUCCUCUCUGUGUGCUCCUGACCUAAGAACAGUGCAUUCCUGUCUGUGGGCUCUAAUCCCUGGAGCCUGAGCAGCAGGGCAGGAGGAGUUCCGAAAGGCCUUCUCAUUGCUCUGGAGAUAAGGACCAGCUCAGCAGGCCAGUGCUUCCUGGGACACCCAUGGACGUUCUCUCUCUUUUUUUUCAAACUGAUGAUUGUGUCUGCACUGACACAGGCAGUGUCUGUGAUAACUGAGGAGGUAAAUGGAUGGAUCAUAACCCACAGAUUUGGUGAAAACACAUUUCUUAUCUAGGAUUAGGUCUGAUGAUCUGGAACCUGCAAGGAACAUAAUAAAGUUUCUGAUUACCUAUCUGGGAUCUGGGUACAUGACCUGGGACAUAAAUCAGAAUCUCCCAUAACUGUACUGCCCUGCCCCAUGCCCCACCGCUCCCAUGAAGCUUGGCCACAGGGAAGGUGCUUGAAUUCUUUCUGGCCCUAAAGAUGUCUCUGAGCAGUCUGUUUCUUUAGCAUCUCGCAUAUAAGUAUGGCGGACACAGCAGAGAAAGCUCACCUGGGGCCCGACUACAGUGCCAUCAGACAGACAUCUGGAUUGAAGCCACUGUAAGGACUGAACACAUGCCAGUGAGCAGUUUUGUAUAGAGCAUUCAUUUUGGAGUUCAGCCCCAAUACUGGUGAAACUCAGUAUUAUAUUUCAAUCUGAUUUACCACCAGGUUUUGUGGCGGAGUUCAGCUCUGGCGCUAACCUUUGAAUGAAUCACCUAAUCUGGAAAGGGGCCAAUUGGCCUAUGGAACACAUGAAAAUGAAACACGAUUCCCAGAGUGGGAAAGUAUGUCUGCCUUCCAAUCUCUGAUAAGAGUCCCUGGAAAACUGAAAACCACACAAAUGCUAAUAGUGCCUGGGUUCUUGAGAAGUUCACUGUCUAGUGGG
Long non-coding RNA from Myotis davidii, 1237 nucleotides. RefSeq lists it as uncharacterized. The record is from RefSeq and is a predicted model, not a curated record. NCBI's taxonomy places the organism in Eukaryota, Metazoa, Chordata, Mammalia, Chiroptera, Vespertilionidae. The transcript is spliced from 3 exons.